UGGCCUUUAUGUCCUGGGCUACACACACGCUACAAUGGCCAACACAAUAGGUUGCUAAGCCGCGAGGUGGAGCCAAUCCUCAAAGUUGGUCUCAGUUCAGAUUGCAGGCUGCAACCCGCCUGCAUGAAGAUGGAGUUGCUAGUAACCGCAGGUCAGCUAUACUGCGGUGAAUACGUUCCCGGGGCUU
This 187-nucleotide ribosomal RNA is filed under the name uncultured Leptolinea sp. RNAcentral's name for it is "partial 16S ribosomal RNA". It matches the Rfam family "Bacterial small subunit ribosomal RNA", at positions 1196 to 1382 of the family's 1533-position model. The record is from RNAcentral. Lineage: Bacteria; Bacillati; Chloroflexota; Anaerolineae; Anaerolineales; Anaerolineaceae.